GAUGAACGCUGACAGAAUGCUUAACACAUGCAAGUCGAUGGGGAAGGGUAAGCUUGCUUACUUGGUAACCAUGGCGGACGGGUGAGUAACGCGUAAGGAACUUACCUGCGGGACUGGGAUAACGGAGGGAAACUUCUGACAAGACCGGAUAAAGUUACUGGGCAGCAUUGUUUGGUAAUGAAAGGAGACGCCUGCGGAGAGUCUCGCGUCCUAUUAGCUAGUUGGUUGGGUAACGGCUGACCAAGGCGAAGAUAGGUAGCCGGCCUGAGAGGGUGGACGGCCACAAGGGGACUGAGAUACGGCCCUUACUCCUACGGGAGGCAGCAGUGGGGAAUAUUGGACAAUGGGGGCAACCCUGAUCCAGCAAUUCUGUGUGCACGAAGAAGGUUUUCGGAUUGUAAAGUGCUUUCAGCACGGAAGAAGAGAGUGACCGUACCUGCAGAAGAAGCGACGGCUAAAUACGUGCCAGCAGCCGCGGUAAUACGUAUGUCGCGAGCUUUAUCCGGAAUUAUUGGGCAUAAAGGGCAUCUAGGCGGCCUAACAAGUCAGGGGUGAAAACCUGCGCGCUCAACCGCAGGCCUGCCUUUGAAACUGUGAGGCUGGAGUACCGGAGAGGUGGACGGAACUGCACGAGUAGAGGUGAAAUUCCUAGAUAUUGUGCAGGAAUGCCGAUGAUGAACAUAGUCCACUGGACGGAGACUGACGCUGAAGUGCGAAAGCCGGGGGAGCCAACAGGAUUAGAUACCCUGGUAGUCCCGGCCGUAAACGAUGAUUACUGGGUGUGGGCAGGAAGACUGUCUGUGCCGAAGCGAAUGCGAUAAGUAAUCCGCCUGGGGAGUACGGCCGCAAGGCUGAAACUCAAAGGAAUUGACGGGGCACCCGCACAAGCGGGGGAGCAUGUGGUUUAAUUCGACGCAACGCCAGGAACCUUACCAGAUCUUGACAUCCUACGAAUGCCCAUGAGGAUGGGCAGUGCCUUCGGGACCGUAGAGACAGGUGGUGCAUGGCUGUCGACAGCUCGUGUCAUGAGAUGUUGGGUUAAGUCCCGCACAGAGCGCCAACCCUUUUUGCUAGUGACCAUCAUUAAGUUGGGGAGUCUAGGGAGACUGCCUGCGAAGAGCAGGAGGGAGGUGGGGAUGACGUCAAGUCAUCAUGCCCCUUAUGAUCUGGGCUACACACGUGCUACAAUGGGCUGUACAGAGAGGAGCGAGGCGGUGACACGGAGCGAAUCUUAAAAGCAGUUCGAAGUUCGGAUUGAAGUCUGCAACUCGACUUCACGAAGUUGGAAUCGCUAGUAAUCGCGGAUCAGCAAUGCCGCGGUGAAUACGUUCUCGGGUCU
RNAcentral lists this ribosomal RNA (1339 nucleotides) under uncultured bacterium. RNAcentral describes it as "bacterial SSU rRNA". It matches the Rfam family "Bacterial small subunit ribosomal RNA", at positions 28 to 1381 of the family's 1533-position model. The record is from RNAcentral.